This 564-nucleotide ribosomal RNA is filed under the name Triticum aestivum (bread wheat). Its description in RNAcentral is "partial small subunit ribosomal RNA". The record is from RNAcentral. Lineage: Eukaryota; Viridiplantae; Streptophyta; Magnoliopsida; Poales; Poaceae.
AUGACGACAAGAAGAAAAGCUUCUUUGGCCCGGUGUGUCUUCGGUUGUAUCCUUGAAUUAUUUGGGUUCAGUGACCGAAGUCUGACCAGUGCAUCUUUAUCUUCAUCCGUUUUCAUCGAUAUUCUACUCAAGCGAUCCUGGAGGUUAAGCACUAAACUGUACGCCGAAGACACUCACAGAUAUGGUGUGGAGAGGCGGUACAUUAUUUUGGCAAUGAUGCAAAGGUGGCACAUGAAGGCAUGGGUAACAAUAUAUGAUGUAAACAUUGUAGUUUUAAAGCAGCCUUAUAAUGCAGAUCAUUUUAGAUGGAUAUAUAACGACAGGAUGCUUAAAUGGUCUAAUGGCCUGAUAUUGCCAAAGGAUCCCCUAGAUAUAACCACCCCAAGGCAACCAAUAACCAGAGCGCAGCUGUCAACUCAUUUUAUUCAUUGGCCAGACUACGAAGCAUGGAAAGAGCAUCCAGGAGGAAAUGAAUCAUUGGGUUAUCUGAAUGGGUAUAACGCUAAAAUAAAUGAGAUUACCAUGAAUCAGGGAUCAUUGGUUGGUGAGCUGAUCUAUCUAUGA